CUUGUCUCAAGGGACUUUGCAGAUAUUGCUGCUGUAACACAUGUGUGUCAGUGUCACAGAGGAUAGAGGUUAUGUCUAUGCUCAGUGUUCUCAUAUAUGUACAUUUGAACUAUUAGUAGCCUGACAUU
Arvicanthis niloticus (Nile rat) is the source of this 128-nucleotide non-coding RNA. NCBI's taxonomy places the organism in Eukaryota, Metazoa, Chordata, Mammalia, Rodentia, Muridae. The record is from RefSeq and is a predicted model, not a curated record.